RNAcentral lists this ribosomal RNA (504 nucleotides) under uncultured bacterium. RNAcentral describes it as "bacterial SSU rRNA". It matches the Rfam family "Bacterial small subunit ribosomal RNA", at positions 30 to 515 of the family's 1533-position model. The record is from RNAcentral.
AUUGAACGCUGGCGGCAUGCUUUACACAUGCAAGUCGAACGGCAGCACGGGCUUCGGCCUGGUGGCGUAGUGGCGAACGGGUGAGUAAUGCAUCGGAACGUGCCCAUUUGUGGGGGAUAACUACGCGAAAGCGUGGCUAAUACCGCAUACGCCCUGAGGGGGAAAGCGGGGGAUUCUUCAGAACCUCGCGCAAUUGGAGCGGCCGAUGUCAGAUUAGCUUGUUGGUGAGGUAAAGGCUCACCAAGGCGACGAUCUGUAGCGGGUCUGAGAGGAUGAUCCGCCACACUGGGACUGAGACACGGCCCAGACUCCUACGGGAGGCAGCAGUGGGGAAUUUUGGACAAUGGGGGCAACCCUGAUCCAGCCAUGCCGCGUGAGUGAAGAAGGCCUUCGGGUUGGUAAAGUACUCUUUCUAGCCGGGAACGAAAACGACGAACUCUCUAACAUAAGGUGUGGAUGACGGUACCGGAAGAAGAAGCACCGGCGUAACUACGUGCCAGCACG